This is a long non-coding RNA of Branchiostoma floridae (Florida lancelet), 2334 nucleotides long. RefSeq lists it as uncharacterized. Lineage: Eukaryota; Metazoa; Chordata; Leptocardii; Amphioxiformes; Branchiostomatidae. The record is from RefSeq and is a predicted model, not a curated record. The transcript has 4 exons.
UACCUUUUGAUAAAGGUUGAUUGGUCUAUUCAACAUAUGAGAAAGAGAUAUGCUAUCGAUUUAUGCCUCUUUUCCUAGUGUGUCAUAGGCUACACCUGCCUUGGGGUGCUUGAUUGACGGGACAUGUGCGUGACCGGUGCAUGAACCCCAGAGUUGACCCGGGGUCGUCACGCUGAGGACUGCGUUCAGGCGAAGUAAUCUUGCAAUAACAUCGUAGGCACGUAAUGUGUCAUUCAACCGGUCACUGUAGUUUUCCGCCUUGACAAAUAAAAUUUUGCAUAGUCAUUAAUAUUAAUUGUAUUUACAUCGUUUUUACCGAAUCAUGGCCGAGAAAUUUGCAUAUACUAGCCAAAUUUCUGUGUGUAGGCGGGACUCAAACAGUUACAGAAUAACACAGACCAACUCCUCGGUUCCAGGGGGCGACCUGCCCGAAGAAAACUCUACAACAGACCUGGGAACCCCCUGAGUUAGAGUCUCCGCGCGAUGAAAUUUAUAGAGAUCAGGGUAGCAUCCAGGCUACCAGUCUCUGGGAGCUCUUCCACUUUUAUUUUGGGAAUUGUACCGCUGAGGAGUCCGCUGUAGCUCCUAGACUUUUUCAUAGAGCCUAGAGACGUGUUGCCGCCCGUCGGAUCACCACAAUAUGUUUUGUGCCGGAAGUAAACAGGCAAGGACAGUACUUCUAAAAAUUUGGGCAGAAAACGAGCAGACACGAGGUUGGGGCUGCAGGUGGGUUAAAACCAGGUGCAGGAUGAUGGGACGACGAGGAGCGGAGAUCAGAUUAAGCUACCGGUGGUCGACAAGGCAAGUCCGAGGAACCGGUCGCCGACGUAGCCAGGAAGCCAUGGUUCCAACAGCCUCUACACAAUUCCCCAACUCCAGAGCUGACGCCACCCCAAGGAAAGCAUGAAGAUGAAAGGCCAAGCCAAGCUGACUCCCAGCCAAGCAGUCAUUUCGCUGCCAGACAGAGAGGAGAAAAGCCAUGCCACGGGUCUUGAGCUGGUCUCUGAUGAUCAAUAACACCUGCUGCCACGAUCGCGAAGUCAACACACUCCCUUUCACUUUGGUCGGGCAAGAGAGAUAAACACGGGCAAGACCGACUCCUCCCGCCGCAACGGACGUCGCUGAUGGCUUGCGCUGGAAGACGAGCUGUAUCACUGUGGGGAAGGACGCCCGUAUGCAAAUUGCAACAACGGGACCAAGGCUGGGAGCCAUGCAAAAUCCGGAACAACGUCGCCCUAAGGAGCAAGGCCAUGAGAGGAAAAUGCCAGACCGGAGCAGAGCCGCGUACAGCCAAGAUUGCGCUGCUACGACUAUGGAAAUACUGACGCCAGUUUAUGGACUGAUGUACACGUAUUGUCUGCAUUACUAGUAUUUGACUUUACAGACACAAAAACGUAUUGUCUAGUCUAUUAUGUGUAUCAAAGAAUAUACAAGUAACGUAAUUGACUCAGACGACGACGGUCCAAAUCAAACCAUGUGCGGAUUUACGAAUGGUGGAAAUCCCAUACAGACGCACGUACGGUCUCAUUGAUGAGUUUUUAACUGCAUUGGGAGUAAUGGCAUGCAAAAAUACGUGUUUCACAUGGGCGCGUACAAAAUGAACGCACUUGAAAUAUGUUUAUUCUAUUUAUUCUUUGUUGCGCUCAUUUACGUUUUAUCUUGUAAAAAAUUUACGACAACAGCUAAACAUUCAGUCUUAUAUGACAAUUAGAACAUGCAUGAAGUUAGUACACACCGCAACGGGGACUGCACAACUCAGAACUGUGUGCCUCCGACCCAGACCGCAGCUACCGAACAUUGCCUGUUAAUUUCUUGAAGUAGAAAGAAACUUUCACCAAUCUAACGUUAGAGAUCAGUUGGGCUGGAUAAAAGGAAAAUUCUCAUCGCUAAAAAAACACCUCCGUGCAGCCGCUUACUUUUUUGGGCCGUAAUUUGGAGUAAUACAUCAACGGGACCUUACAAAUAUUAUGUAUGCAUGCUGAUGUUGCAUUUCAGUCCGUCACUUGCAACAAGCUAGAUACAACGCAAUGGUUGCUGUAUGUACCGGCAUGUAUUAGUCUAUAUUGUGACAUGAUUAUUAUUCUCAGACAGUUUCCGGUAAUUCGUUAAAUUUGAUAAUGUGAACUGCAACAGACCGAGAUAAAGUACUAGUAACAAUGUUGUGUGAUGUGAGCGGACAGCUGUGUAACUGUCUGUCAGGUAAGACAGAAUAUAAAGACGAGAGAUUUAUUUCUAAGGCAAUUCAGGAGAGCAACAGACCGAGUGACAUAGCAUUAUGACGUCGCAGUUAGUAUACGUUCAAAGUCUCCCGUGCCCAGUGUACGGAAAUCCCUA